Molecule: ribosomal RNA, 252 nt
Filed under: uncultured bacterium
Lineage: Bacteria
Description: partial 16S ribosomal RNA
Rfam family: Bacterial small subunit ribosomal RNA
Source: RNAcentral
UACGUAGGCAGCAAGCGUUGUUCGGAGUUACUGGGCGUAAAGGGUGUGUAGGCGGUCCUCUAAGUUUGGUGUGAAAUCUCCCGGCUCAACCGGGAGGGUGCGCCGAAGACUGGGGGACUAGAGUAUCGGAUGGGAGAGUGGAAUUCCCGGUGUAGCGGUGAAAUGCGUAGAUAUCAGGAGGAACACCUGCGGUGUAGACGGCUCUCUGGACGAUAACUGACGCUGAGACACGAAAGCGUGGGUAGCAAACAG